UACAGAGGGUGCAAGCGUUGUUCGGAUUUACUGGGCGUAAAGGGCGCGUAGGCGGCCACCGCAAGUCGGUUGUGAAAUCUCCGGGCUUAACUCGGAAAGGUCAACUGAUACUGUGCGACUAGAGUGCAGAAGGGGCAACUGGAAUUCUCGGUGUAGCGGUGAAAUGCGUAGAUAUCGAGAGGAACACCUGCGGCGAAGGCGGGUUGCUGGGCUGACACUGACGCUGAUGCGCGAAAGCCAGGGGAGCGAACGGG
Molecule: ribosomal RNA, 254 nt
Filed under: uncultured prokaryote
Description: partial 16S ribosomal RNA
Rfam family: Bacterial small subunit ribosomal RNA
Source: RNAcentral